CAUCACUCUCUGCUUCAGCUACAGGCCUGCAUAAAUGGAGGAGUCUCUGCAAAUUCGCCGAAUUAACGAAAUUCCGUCGCCGGAGGAAUUCGCCUCUCAGAUUGAACAGAAAAAUGUCCCUGCAGUCUUCAGUGGAUGUGCCAAGGAGUGGAAAGCAUUUUCGAGAUGGAAUGUGUCGAAUGGCGGCCUCGACUACUUGCAGGAUUUGGUGGGAUCGUCCAUUGUGGAAGCUAUGCUAUCCAGAUCUGCACCUGUAUUUUAUGGAGAUAUUCGAGCCCAUGAGAGGGUUCCUUUGCCGUUUUCUACCUUUGUUGGUUACUGCAAAGAUCUUCUACAAUGUGAGGAUGAUGGCGAAGACCCCAUUUCUCAAUUAAGAAAGCAUGAACCAACGGAAGUUGCUACCCAACAAGGUGAUUUUGCAACGGGAGAAGAAUGUCCAAAGCAAAUCUAUUUAGCCCAGGUUUCCAUUGUAAAUACUGAAAAUGAAGAAAAGAGUCAGCUGGAAUGCCUUAAAGAUGAUAUUGAAAUGCCUGCGUUUCUGGAAAACAAAAUUCUGGCUUCUAUCAAUUUGUGGAUGAACAAUGCCAAGAGUAGAUCUAGUACUCACUAUGAUCCGCACCAUAAUCUUCUAUGCAUAAUUUCAGGAUGUAAACAAGGUGACCUGUUCACAAUAUGUUUGUCAGUUGUUUUAUGGCCCCCUUCCGCAUGCCCCUUCUUAUAUCCAUUGCCUGUGUAUGGAGAAUCCUCAAACCACAGCGCCAUUCCAUUGGAAAACAUCAAUUUUAGUCUCUAUCCAAGGGCAAAGUCAAUUGCUGAGUACUCUCGGAAGGUUACCCUUCAUGCAGGGGAUGCAUUGUUCAUUCCUGAAGGAUGGUUCCACCAAGUGGACAGUGAAGAUUUAACUAUAGCUGUCAAUUUCUGGUGGCAGUCUGACAUGAUGUCUGGCAUGCCAGAACACAUGGAUGCUUACUAUCUACGUAGAAUAUUAAAAAGAUUAACUGACAAAGAAAUGGAUCGAAUGCUCUCUAUGCCUUCAACUUCGAAGGUGAACCAUAUGAUUAGUGCAAGUGGCCAGUCUAGUAAUGAAAAUGCAGAUUUGAAUUUGAACCAUCAAGAAGUAGGUGGAGAAGAAAAGCUGGAGCCAGGGUUUUCAUUGCGGGAACUGGAACCACAUGAACUUAGAUCUCUUCAUGAACUCAUUUCCUUAGUCCAUGAGCAAAUCAACUGCCAGCCAGCAGACAACAUCGCGGCAGACCAGUCUGCCUGUAGAGAGGAAGUCGUGAAGAAAUUGGAUAAAGCAAAUUUACAUAACUUAGAAGAUGAUCCAAUUGCUAAUACCGUUUGGAACCUAGAACCACAUGUCUUUCAAAUUGUCUUUCUCACCAUGGCACACAAUUUUCCAAGGACAUUGGAGGCUUUUGUAUUGCAUGCGCUCUCCCCUGUAGGAGUUGAAGUCCUUACCAGGAAAUUCGAGCAGAUGGAUCAAAGGAUUGCUCCGGAUGAGCGGAGUCAGUUUUACCAAAAGUUCUAUAGCGUGUUUGAUAACCAGUUCUCUGCCAUGGAUGCUCUUUUGAAUGGGAAAGAGUCUUUUGCAUGCCAGGCAUUCAAUAAUGUGCUGGUCCAAUAUCUGGGAGUUAAUCUUGAUGGGCCAAAACCAUCGCUGCAGUAGGAAUGACUGACCGAUAAUGUUCAGACACUGUUGAUUAUUUAUAGUCUUGACUUGCGAAACAUGCCAAAUUGGAAAGACGAAAGAGUGCCAUCUUGGUUUCAGAUUAUACAUUUGGGCUGAGAUAUCUUUGCCUUACUCUUUAUUCAUUGCCGCGGUGACACUCAAAUGUUGUGUGGAGGAUUCUGCAUGGGGAUUUGCAGUAGAUGGGAAAAGAUAAUAAAACAAAAUGAAAGAAGGUUUAGUAAUUAUUUGCUUUGGAAGAAAGAAGAAAAGGAAUAAAAGGUAGGCCUGUGGAGAUGAGAUUCCCUUAUGAAACAUGACAUAUGCAACUUCUAGAGAGAGAAUGGAAUAGAAGCUUUAGUUUUUGUCCUGUUCUGCUGCAUAACAUAACAUAGCAAGAUAGAAAGAGAAUGUAUCCUUUCUCUACUGAGGCAACCGAUAUGUAUUGGUACCUUAACCUGCAACUUAUUUCACCCUACUUUCUAAAAGCUUUGGAUAUACCAAAGUAGCUUAGUAUAUCUUUGAUACACACACAUAUAAAUAUAUAUUCUUUGGGUCCAUUCCAUAUGCUUACUGCUUAUCUUUUCUUAAUUACUUUGUAUAUUCCUCUUAAAGCUAAAGGAAUUAUUGUUACUGUGAACUUUUACUUAAAUUCAUCAUCUUUUUCUCAACACUUGGGUUUUGAAUAUACCUCUAUAAAGCUCAUGUCCUUAUCCUUGCCCAAAACAUGACACCUUGUGCUUUCUUUGUGAGAAAAGUUUAUUCUUCUGGUAUGCCCUCAAAUUACACUAAUAAAAGAUGCAUGUUUAUUCUAUUUUAUCAUUUACUUUAUUUAUGAUUCCUUUAGCUUCUCAAAAUAGUGAUAAAAGAUAAGAGUGAACUUCGAAAUUAGUCCGUGGAAAAAUGAAAAUAUCGCCACAAGUAUUGGAAAAUGAAAAAUACUAAAAAUAAGUCCUUAUUUUCCAAUUUUGCACCUGAGCCCUAGAAAGGGUAAAAGCGACUAUUUCUUUCACUCCCAUGUGCACAUGCACUCUGUGGCACAUGACCUUUCAAAUUGCUUUCAUAUCUGUGUACCAACUUCUUCAUCGAACUUGAAGAUGAAGAAGUUGGUACAAAAAUACGGAAGCAAUUUGAAAUGUCCCAUGUCAGAGUGCGUGUGAGGUGUGCACAUAAGAGAGAGAAAUACUCAGUAAAAUAAGUGAAAUGAUGUGAAAAAACUGUCUUGUUAGUUUGACAUUAAAACUGUCUAUUGAAUUGCAUUGUAUUUUUAUGCUAAUCUCUUUUGUUUUAUAUCAUU
Molecule: RNA transcript, 2966 nt
Organism: Salvia splendens (bonfire salvia)
Lineage: Eukaryota; Viridiplantae; Streptophyta; Magnoliopsida; Lamiales; Lamiaceae
Gene name: zinc finger MYM-type protein 1
Exons: 16
Source: RefSeq, a predicted model, not a curated record